GACGAACGCUGGCGGCGUGCUUAACACAUGCAAGUCGAGCGGAAAGGCCCUUUCGGGGGUACUCGAGCGGCGAACGGGUGAGUAACACGUGAGUAAUCUGCCCUUGGCUUUGGGAUAACUACCGGAAACGGUGGCUAAUACCGGAUACGACCACUCCUUGCAUGAGGUGGUGGUGGAAAGUUUUUUCGGCCAGGGAUGUGCUCGCGGCCUAUCAGCUUGUUGGUGGGUAAUGGCCUACCAAGGCUUCGACGGGUAGCCGGCCUGAGAGGGUGACCGGCCACACUGGGACUGAGACACGGCCCAGACUCCUACGGGAGGCAGCAGUGGGGAAUAUUGGACAAUGGGCGGAAGCCUGAUCCAGCAACGCCGCGUGAGGGAUGACGGCCUCGGUGUAACUCUUCUAGUACGACGAACGACGCCGAC
RNAcentral lists this ribosomal RNA (423 nucleotides) under uncultured bacterium. RNAcentral describes it as "bacterial SSU rRNA". It matches the Rfam family "Bacterial small subunit ribosomal RNA", at positions 28 to 455 of the family's 1533-position model. The record is from RNAcentral.